This 887-nucleotide non-coding RNA is filed under the name Neoteredo reynei. Lineage: Eukaryota; Metazoa; Mollusca; Bivalvia; Myida; Teredinidae. The record is from RNAcentral.
UGAGUGUGCGUUUCCGGCACUACGUUGGCUCUCUCUGGGGUUACACAUGUUACUAUAGGGGAGUAGGGAGUGAGGCUCUUUUUCUUGUGGGUGUUCUUUAAACAGGGGCAGACAGCGAGAUGAGGCUACUAAAAUUAGGGAAUUACCUAAGAUUUUGAGGAGUCCCCCCUACGUCAGUGAUCAAGAUUGGUAAUGAUUGCCGGGGAUGGUUAUCCAGUUAUGAUGGAGAGGAGAAGGAGAUAAUAAAGUGCCAGCAUCUGCGGUUAAACUUUGCCUUCGAGUUAAUGAAUCCUUGUGGAGUGGUUUAGGAAGGUUUGAAAACAGGAUUUCUUCUUAUUUCGGUGAAAUGUGUAAUGGAGGAAGUUUUUGGGGUUUGUAUUCCUUUUGCCAAGAAGGCUGUCUUGAAAGACGGGGAUUAGAUACCCUCUUAUUUAUGCUGUCAUGAUGGAUCCAUGGGAAGUACGGGUUAAUAUGCUUGAAAUCUAAGGAAGUUGGCGGUGAUCUCACAUCAGGUGAGGGGAACUUGGCGGUUGAUUCGAUAGACCUCGAAGACUUUACCUUUUGUUUUCUUAGCCUACCGCCGUUGUCAGUAGUCUUUUUGAUAAGGCAGAGGGCUGCUAGGAACAUAAAUCAUUCUGUUUUUGAUGAACUGUUCGAAUUCAGGUAAUGGUGUUGGUUACCAGAAGGGCUUAGCUGAGUUACAUUUAUGAAAUAAUGACGGAAGUAGGGUUGAAAUAGUCCUAUUGAAGGUGUACUUCACAGUAAUAUUUUUAAGUGAGGAUUUGUGAAUAAGUUCUGGGUCGUGUACAAAUCGCCCGGCACCCCUGUAUAGUUAAGUCUGGGUAAGUCGUAACACAGUAAUGCUAUCAUAAGGUGGUUUUACAGAA